This 253-nucleotide ribosomal RNA is filed under the name uncultured bacterium. Its description in RNAcentral is "partial 16S ribosomal RNA". It matches the Rfam family "Bacterial small subunit ribosomal RNA", at positions 524 to 776 of the family's 1533-position model. The record is from RNAcentral.
UACAGAGGGUGCAAGCGUUAAUCGGAAUUAUUGGGCGUAAAGGGCGCGUAGGCGGGGGGAUAAGUCGGAUGUGAAAUCCCGGAGCUCAACUCCGGACCCGCAUUUGAUACUGUCCUUCUUGAGGUUAGUUGGGGAAAGCGGAAUUCCACGUGUAGCGGUGAAAUGCGUAGAUAUGUGGAAGAACACCGGUGGCGAAGGCGGCUUUCUAAGUUAAACCUGACGCUGAGGCGCGAAAGCAAGGGGAGCAAACAGG